UACGAAGGGUGCAAGCGUUACUCGGAAUUACUGGGCGUAAAGCGUGCGUAGGUGGUUCGUUAAGUCUGUCGUGAAAGCCCCGGGCUCAACCUGGGAAUGGCGAUGGAUACUGGCGGGCUAGAGUGCGGUAGAGGAGAGUGGAAUUCCCGGUGUAGCAGUGAAAUGCGUAGAUAUCUGGAGGAACACCGGUGGCGAAGGCGGCAUCCUGGACCAAUUCUGACGCUGAGGAGCGAAAGCCAGGGGAGCAAACGGG
Molecule: ribosomal RNA, 253 nt
Filed under: uncultured bacterium
Lineage: Bacteria
Description: partial 16S ribosomal RNA
Rfam family: Bacterial small subunit ribosomal RNA
Source: RNAcentral